UACUAUGGUCGAGCGCACGAAUUGCGGGAUUGACUAGCGACUCUUUCGCCCCUCAGGCCCUCACACCCAGCGUCUUCCUCCUAGCUAGGGUUAACGUGGCCGCCGCCGCCCUCCCCCACUUCGCUCGAGGUCGCCCCUCUCCAUGUCCCCUCCUGAGCUCCACCUCCUCCAGCCCCCGCCUGGGCUCUGCUCCUUCUUCCUUGUUGGCGCUCAACCGGACGAGGCUGAACUGCCACAAACUGCGGCAGAGGGACACGUCGAUGAGGAUGGCAAGUCGAGCUGGAGGGGAUCGGGAGGCGUGAGGCGUGGAUACGGGUGGAGCGCUGAAGAAGGGUUGUGUGGGGCAACCGGCCCGUCUUAUUUUGUGGAGUGGCCAUUAUCAUCGCCAAGCUACUCAACUCGUCGAACCCGAUGUCGCCAUGUUCGGGAAGAAGGAUUGUCAGCAGUGGCGUCUCCUCUGCCGAAUGAUAACUAACAGAUUUGGCCUUCAGUUACAUUUUUUGUCUUUGCCAUCCAAGAAGAAAGUUACAUACUGUCCCCACCUCCUCCUUAUAUUAUUAUUAUAGCUGACGCAGACAGUUGAUUCCUUGCAUCAAUGGGAAGGAUACAUUAGGUACCGUGUAGACUCUAUGUUCAAGGAUUUCAGUAAGGAAAGCUACCAUGAUCUGGAAGGAUGGAACAAUGUUGAUAUGUGUGUAUGAUUCCAAAUGGCCUUUGCAUGUUUUCAGAAAUUGGGAUCAUAAAUUUUCAUCACCUUCUAAUCACCCUCCCCCCUCUCUCUCUAUGUGGCCUCGUCUCCUACCCCUUUCUCUUCUCAAUCCGGAUCCAUGGAUCCUGUGGGGCUCGGGCUCAAAGUGGUCGUCGUGCCCUCGCGCCCGGUGGGGCGUCAAUGCUGCCAAGAGCUGCCUGCUCAGCCCGCGCCUGAACCUCAGGACGCAUGGCUGCACCCCUCCACGACCAAAGGCUGCGGCGGGGACGGCCAAUCGCAGCCAAAGCUUGGGGGCAAGAUAAUCUCCUGUACGGCCUGGCCACCGCUGGCAUGUCGGUGCCCUCAACAAGUUCUUGCACGGGGAUGUGAAGUCUGGUCCGAGGCCGCUCGGUCAGAUGGCGCUCACUCUAGUGCCAAGCAGACUUCUUGAGCUCCUGCUUCACUUGCAAGAAGCUACAGAAAGGCAUAAUUGUUGUGUGCCAUUGCAUCGGUGAGAAGGCAGUCUGCAGUGCCGAGUGCCGGGACCAAGAGAUCAUGAUCGAAGAGGAAGCGAAGAACAAGAUCGUCAUCAGAUGCUCGUCCUGCUCAACCCUGCAUGGGUGGAUGGAACGGACAAUAGCGGAGGACAUGGACAUUGCUCGUCCUGAAGAACGUCGAGUGCCAAUGCGAACUACCAGAGUCAUAUGAGGCUUACCGAAAGUGGCAACAUCGGUGGCAUUCCGGUCCAAUGCAGAUGUUCAAGCUUUGCAUAUCCAACAUCAUCAAGCCCAAGGCAUUGCUAUGCUCUUUUUGUUGUAAUAUCUAAACAGAAUGUACUACAAAAUAGAUAAUCUGACGAAGAUGUGGCACGUGAGAUGUUCUCCAAUAAUGUUAACUUGUUGUCAAAAACUCUAAAAUGGUACUGCUUUUUGAA
Molecule: long non-coding RNA, 1622 nt
Organism: Triticum dicoccoides
Lineage: Eukaryota; Viridiplantae; Streptophyta; Magnoliopsida; Poales; Poaceae
Exons: 5
Source: RefSeq, a predicted model, not a curated record